This 497-nucleotide ribosomal RNA is filed under the name uncultured bacterium. RNAcentral's name for it is "partial 16S ribosomal RNA". It matches the Rfam family "Bacterial small subunit ribosomal RNA", at positions 28 to 507 of the family's 1533-position model. The record is from RNAcentral.
GAUGAACGCUGGCGGCGUGCCUAAUACAUGCAAGUCGAGCGAACAGACGAGGAGCUUGCUCCUCUGAUGUUAGCGGCGGACGGGUGAGUAACACGUGGAUAACCUACCUAUAAGACUGGGAUAACUUCGGGAAACCGGAGCUAAUACCGGAUAACAUGUUGAACCGCAUGGUUCAACAGUGAAAGACGGUUUUGCUGUCACUUAUAGAUGGAUCCGCGCCGCAUUAGCUAGUUGGUAAGGUAACGGCUUACCAAGGCAACGAUGCGUAGCCGACCUGAGAGGGUGAUCGGCCACACUGGAACUGAGACACGGUCCAGACUCCUACGGGAGGCAGCAGUAGGGAAUCUUCCGCAAAGGGCGAAAGCCUGACGGAGCAACGCCGCGUGAGUGAAGAAGGUCUUCGGAUCGUAAAAAUCUGUUAUUAGGGAAGAACAAAUGUGUAAGUAACUAUGCACGUCUUGACGGUACCUAAUCAGAAAGCCACGGCUAACUACGUG